GAAUAAAAAGCGAAGUUUGCUAUCGGUUUCGACCCGGUCUUUGGUUCAUAAAACCUUUAUUCU
Molecule: transfer RNA, 63 nt
Filed under: Chthamalus malayensis
Lineage: Eukaryota; Metazoa; Arthropoda; Thecostraca; Balanomorpha; Chthamalidae
Description: tRNA-Arg
Source: RNAcentral